GGCCUUGACAUACUAAGAACUUUCCAGAGAUGGAUUGGUGCCUUCGGGAACUUAGAUACAGGUGCUGCAUGGCUGUCGUCAGCUCGUGUCGUGAGAUGUUGGGUUAAGUCCCGNAACGAGCGCAACCCUUUUCCUAUUUGCCAGCGGGUCAUGCCGGGAACUUUAAGGAUACUGCCAGUGACAAACUGGAGGAAGGCGGGGACGACGUCAAGUCAUCAUGGCCCUUACGGCCAGGGCUACACACGUGCUACAAUGGUCGGUACAAAGGGUUGCUACCUCGCGAGAGGAUGCUAAUCUCAAAAAAGCCGAUCGUAGUCCGGAUCGCAGUCUGCAACUCGACUGCGUGAAGUCGGAAUCGCUAGUAAUCGCGGAUCAGAAUGCCGCGGUGAAUACGUUCCCGGGCCUUGUACACACCGCCCGUCACACCAUGGGAGUUUGUUGCACCAGAAGUAGGUAGUCUAACCGCAAGGAGGACGCUUACCACGGUGUGGCCGAUGACUGGGGUGAAGUCGUAACAAGGUAAGCGUAGAUGA
This 533-nucleotide ribosomal RNA is filed under the name uncultured bacterium. Its description in RNAcentral is "bacterial SSU rRNA". It matches the Rfam family "Bacterial small subunit ribosomal RNA", at positions 977 to 1509 of the family's 1533-position model. The record is from RNAcentral.